ACUGAACGCUGGCGGCAGGCCUAACACAUGCAAGUCGAACGGUAACAGGAAGCAGCUUGCUGCUUUGCUGACGAGUGGCGGACGGGUGAGUAAUGUCUGGGAAACUGCCCGAUGGAGGGGGAUAACUACUGGAAACGGUAGCUAAUACCGCAUAACGUCGCAAGACCAAAGAGGGGGACCUUAGGGCCUCUUGCCAUCGGAUGUGCCCAGAUGGGAUUAGCUAGUAGGUGGGGUAACGGCUCACCUAGGCGACGAUCCCUAGCUGGUCUGAGAGGAUGACCAGCCACACUGGAACUGAGACACGGUCCAGACUCCUACGGGAGGCAGCAGUGGGGAAUAUUGCACAAUGGGCGCAAGCCUGAUGCAGCCAUGCCGCGUGUAUGAAGAAGGCCUUCGGGUUGUAAAGUACUUUCAGCGGGGAGGAAGGGAGUAAAGUUAAUACCUUUGCUCAUUGACGUUACCCGCAGAAGAAGCACCGGCUAACUCCGUG
This 490-nucleotide ribosomal RNA is filed under the name uncultured bacterium. RNAcentral's name for it is "partial 16S ribosomal RNA". It matches the Rfam family "Bacterial small subunit ribosomal RNA", at positions 30 to 507 of the family's 1533-position model. The record is from RNAcentral.